GAAACGCGAUAGUUAAUGUGAAUUGCAGAAUUCAGUGAAUCAUCGAGUCUUUGAACGCACAUUGCGCCUUUUGGUAUUCCGAGAGGCACGUCUGUUCGAGCGUCAGUAAAACCCUUCCGGACCGGCGGUUUUGUUACCGCCCGGCCUGGGACCCUGGCGUGGGGAAGCGAAACCCUCUCACGGGUUUUUCCCCCGCUUAAACGCGGAGAAAGCUAGCGGGCACAGGCCUCACGUAUUGCGACAACUCGUAAAAUCUUUAUAGGUUGUUACCGCUAACAGUGGACCUUGCCCCGCCUCCUGAAACCUACGGGAACUCCGUUCCCCUGACUCUUGACCUCGGAUCAGAUGAGGAUACCCGCUGAACUUAA
RNAcentral lists this unclassified non-coding RNA (368 nucleotides) under uncultured Brachyphoris. RNAcentral's name for it is "sequence contains ITS1". The stretch from base 1 to 105 matches the Rfam family "5.8S ribosomal RNA", at positions 50 to 154 of the family's 154-position model. Lineage: Eukaryota; Fungi; Ascomycota; Orbiliomycetes; Orbiliales; Orbiliaceae. The record is from RNAcentral.